CGCGAUCUAUCCUGCUAGUUAUCAUUCACUCAUUCUUUCAGUCGUUUGGGAUUGGUUGGGCCCCACGGUUUGCCAGGAGUCUUAGCAGAGGCUGCGGAAGGAGAGCAGAGAAGCCGGCAGAUGCAGCCGCUGCUCUCGCGAGAUCUUAUGUUUGAAGGGACGCGGACGGAUUGAGAAGCAACUGCGUAAGGACGUAUGCAGGCGAGGCCUUCACGUAGCUCAUGAAGAUCAAGGGAAACUUCCUGGCGGAGGGGGCCCCUAAGCUGAGACUGAAGAGUGCAGAGGAUGACGAUGCCAGUGAUCAUGACCAGGGCUCUUGGCAAUAUGCUCAGGAGAAAAAUUCCAUUUUCAAAGCUUGCUAGUGGACCAGAUAAGGCUUCUGGUGAAACUGCUGUGGCUCUUCCCUGGGAUUUCCCAAUCACAGACAUGAUGGCUGGAGCUCCCGUAGCUAUAUUGUAGCCUUGAGGUGGAAGCCAUCAUCCAAGGACAGCAGAGCAGAAGAAUGGGCACCCGGAGCCUCUGAUGACUCUGAGGAGCUACCAUACAAGAUUGGAGGGUUGGCUUCUACUUUUAUGUAAAAGAAUACACCAUCAGUCUAAACCAUUAGGCUUAAAAUACUGUAUACCUUUGUGGACAUUUUAAAAUUAAGGUCUAAAAUUAUUUUAAGGGUCUAAAUUUAUUUUACAUAGUUGCAAAAACAUAUGAUUCUGACUUAUUGAAACUUAACAUUAUAAGACCAUCACAUCACUUUUUGAAAUGUAGUCAAAGAAAUAUAAGUUUGUAGUAAUUUGAUAUUUCCCAUUGUCUACCUGAAAUACAUGAACAGAA
Molecule: long non-coding RNA, 828 nt
Filed under: Cavia porcellus (domestic guinea pig)
Lineage: Eukaryota; Metazoa; Chordata; Mammalia; Rodentia; Caviidae
Description: lncRNA (ENSCPOG00000037963.1)
Source: RNAcentral